CAUCACCGGCGGACGGGUGCGUAACGCGUGGGAAUAUACCUAUUGGUUCGGAACAACUGCGGGAAACUGCAGCUAAUACCGAAUGUGCCCGCAAGGGGAAAGAUUUAUCGCCAAUGGAUUAGCCCGCGUAGGAUUAGCUAGUUGGUGGGGUAAUGGCCCACCAAGGCUCCGAUCCUUAGCUGUUCUGAGAGGAAGAUCAGCCACACUGGGACUGAGACACGGCCCAG
RNAcentral lists this ribosomal RNA (227 nucleotides) under uncultured bacterium. RNAcentral describes it as "partial 16S ribosomal RNA". It matches the Rfam family "Bacterial small subunit ribosomal RNA", at positions 90 to 334 of the family's 1533-position model. The record is from RNAcentral.